UACGAAGGGGCUAGCGUUGUUCGGAAUUACUGGGCGUAAAGCGCACGUAGGCGGAUAUUUAAGUCAGGGGUGAAAUCCCAGAGCUCAACUCUGGAACUGCCUUUGAUACUGGGUAUCUUGAGUAUGGAAGAGGUAAGUGGAAUUGCGAGUGUAGAGGUGAAAUUCGUAGAUAUUCGCAGGAACACCAGUGGCGAAGGCGGCUUACUGGUCCAUAACUGACGCUGAGGUGCGAAAGCGUGGGGAGCAAACAGGG
This 253-nucleotide ribosomal RNA is filed under the name uncultured bacterium. Its description in RNAcentral is "partial 16S ribosomal RNA". It matches the Rfam family "Bacterial small subunit ribosomal RNA", at positions 524 to 777 of the family's 1533-position model. The record is from RNAcentral.